This 442-nucleotide ribosomal RNA is filed under the name uncultured bacterium. RNAcentral describes it as "SSU rRNA". It matches the Rfam family "Bacterial small subunit ribosomal RNA", at positions 26 to 518 of the family's 1533-position model. The record is from RNAcentral.
AGAACGAACGCUGGCGGCAGGCUUAACACAUGCAAGUCGAGCGCCCCGCAAGGGGAGCGGCAGACGGGUGAGUAACGCGUGGGAACAUACCCUCCGGUUCGGAAUAGCUCAGGGAAACUUGGAUUAAUACCGGAUACGGCCUAGCGGCGAAAGAUUCAUCGCCGGAGGAUUGGCCCGCGUUCGAUUAGCUAGUUGGUGAGGUAACGGCUCACCAAGGCGACGAUCGAUAGCUGGUCUGAGAGGAUGAUCAGCCACAUUGGGACUGAGACACGGCCCAAACUCCUACGGGAGGCAGCAGUGGGGAAUAUUGGACAAUGGGCGCAAGCCUGAUCCAGCCAUGCCGCGUGAGUGAUGACGGCCCUAGGGUUGUAAAGCUCUUUCGCUAGGGACGAUAAUGACGGUACCUAGACAAGAAGCCCGGCUAACUCGUGCCAGCAGCCGC